UACGGGAGGCAGCAGUGGGGAAUAUUGCACAAUGGGCGCAAGCCUGAUGCAGCCAUGCCGCGUGUAUGAAGAAGGCCUUCGGGUUGUAAAGUACUUUCAGUCGUGAGGAAGGUGUUAAGGUUAAUAACCUUAGCAAUUGACGUUAGCGACAGAAGAAGCACCGGCUAACUCCGUGCCAGCAGCCGCGGUAAUACGGAGGGUGCGAGCGUUAAUCGGAAUUACUGGGCGUAAAGGGCACGCAGGCGGUUAAUUAAGUUGGAUGUGAAAUCCCCGGGCUUAACCUGGGAAUGGCAUUCAAGACUGGUUAGCUAGAGUCUUGUAGAGGGGGUAGAAUUCCAUGUGUAGCGGUGAAAUGCGUAGAGAUGUGGAGGAAUACCGGUGGCGAAGGCGGCCCCUGGGACAAAGACUGACGCUCAUGUGCGAAAGCGUGGGGAGCAAACGAGGAUUAGGACCUACCCUGUGAAC
RNAcentral lists this ribosomal RNA (465 nucleotides) under uncultured bacterium. RNAcentral describes it as "bacterial SSU rRNA". It matches the Rfam family "Bacterial small subunit ribosomal RNA", at positions 340 to 794 of the family's 1533-position model. The record is from RNAcentral.